Molecule: long non-coding RNA, 218 nt
Filed under: Elaeis guineensis (African oil palm)
Lineage: Eukaryota; Viridiplantae; Streptophyta; Magnoliopsida; Arecales; Arecaceae
Description: long non-coding RNA (EGUI_LNC020021)
Source: RNAcentral
GCCCGUAGGCUCAGCUAUCCUUUUUCAAUGGGCCUUCUUCUCUAAUUUUUUUAUUUUUGCUAGAUUCGACUCUUUGCAGUAGUCUCUGCAACUGGUAUAGCUAAAGGCUUAGCAUGCAACCAAAGGCUUGUAACAAAAAAAAGGGGAGAAAGUAAAAGUUAAAAGAUGGAUGGCUCUGAGGCAGGUGAUGCAUGUGCAUCUUGAGGGCUGGCCUGACU